CAUGGAGGGUGAGAAUCCCGUCUGUGACCGGUCGUGCGUUCAUCUACGAUUCGCUUUCAAAGAGUCGGGUUGUUUGGGAAUGCAGCCCAAAAUGGGUGGUAAAUUUCAUCUAAAGCUAAAUAAUGGCGAGAGACCGAUAGCGAACAAGUACCGUGAGGGAAAGAUGAAAAGAACUUUGAAAAGAGAGUUAAAUAGUACGUGAAAUUGUUGAAAGGGAAACGCUUGAAGUCAGUCGUGCUGGCGCGAAAUCAACCCGCUCGUUGAGCGAUCACCUGCCGUGGCGAGCCUCAAAACCGCCACGACUCGUGAUCGCUUAAUGGUCUGGUGCACUUUUGUGUCGGCUGGUUAACGUCAAUUUCUCACGUCAUAAAAAGGCUGGAGGGAUGUGGCUCCUUCGGGAGUGUUAUAACCUUUGGCGGAAUGUGGUGUUUGGGAUUGAGGAUUGCAACGAAUACCUUUAGGGCUGUUCCACCUGGCCUCUCGUUGGCAUCCUGGCGGCGACAGCUUGCUGACGUCGUUAGGAUUCGCCUUCGAACAGGCUAGAGUGUGAGCAAAUUCGUUAAGGAUGUUGACGUAAUGG
This 580-nucleotide ribosomal RNA is filed under the name Entrophospora drummondii. RNAcentral describes it as "eukaryotic LSU rRNA". It matches the Rfam family "Eukaryotic large subunit ribosomal RNA", at positions 204 to 637 of the family's 3401-position model. The record is from RNAcentral. RNAcentral also lists the same sequence under 1 other name. Lineage: Eukaryota; Fungi; Glomeromycota; Glomeromycetes; Entrophosporales; Entrophosporaceae.